CAGCAGCCGCGGGAAUACGUAGGGUGCAAGCGUUAAUCGGAAUUACUGGGCGUAAAGCGUGCGCAGGCGGUCCGCUAAGACAGAUGUGAAAUCCCCGGGCUUAACCUGGGAACUGCAUUUGUGACUGGCGGGCUAGAGUAUGGCAGAGGGGGGUAGAAUUCCACGUGUAGCAGUGAAAUGCGUAGAGAUGUGGAGGAAUACCGAUGGCGAAGGCAGCCCCCUGGGCCAAUACUGACGCUCAUGCACGAAAGCGUGGGGAGCAAACAGGAUUAGAUACCCGUGUAGUCCCUGUCUCUUAUAC
This 301-nucleotide ribosomal RNA is filed under the name uncultured bacterium. Its description in RNAcentral is "partial 16S ribosomal RNA". It matches the Rfam family "Bacterial small subunit ribosomal RNA", at positions 509 to 807 of the family's 1533-position model. The record is from RNAcentral.